CCUACGGGAGGCAGCAGUGAGGAAUAUUGGACAAUGGGCGCAAGCCUGAUCCAGCCAUGCCGCGUGCAGGAAGAAGCAUCUAUGGUGUGUAAACUGCUUUUGUACAGGAAGAAACACUCCCUCGUGAGGGAGCUUGACGGUACUGUAAGAAUAAGGACCGGCUAACUCCGUGCCAGCAGCCGCGGUAAUACGGAGGGUCCGAGCGUUAUCCGGAAUCAUUGGGUUUAAAGGGUCCGUAGGCGGUUUAAUAAGUCAGUGGUGAAAUCUGGUCGCUCAACGAUCAAACGGCCAUUGAUACUGUUAGACUUGAAUUAUAAGGAAGUAACUAGAAUAUGUAGUGUAGCGGUGAAAUGCUUAGAUAUUACAUGGAAUACCAAUUGCGAAGGCAGGUUACUACUUAUGGAUUGACGCUGAUGGACGAAAGCGUGGGGAGCGAACAGGAUUAGAUACCCUGGUAGUCCACGCCGUAAACGAUGGAUACUAGCUGUUCGGAGCAAUCUAGNGUGNGUAGACGAAGUAGANAGUAUACCACCGUCGGAGUACGUUCG
RNAcentral lists this ribosomal RNA (548 nucleotides) under uncultured bacterium. RNAcentral's name for it is "bacterial SSU rRNA". It matches the Rfam family "Bacterial small subunit ribosomal RNA", at positions 338 to 888 of the family's 1533-position model. The record is from RNAcentral.